AGGUGGGCCGAGGUGGGGUGAAGGUUGAUGGGCAUUUGCAGCCAGGUAGGGUAGUGGAAAGGUUGGAGUUUGGAGACACAGGAAGAGGAGGAAGCAGACAAGAAAAAUAUAUGGCAGAUGGGUGGUCUGGCAAAGGAACUAAAACGGGAAGACCAGAGGUGAUUCAGAAGGAGAGAAAAGAACAUAUGAGGUGGGGGGGUCACCUGAAAAUAUAAAAUUCAAUGUUCGUACUAUUGGAUUGUAGCCUACACGGGCAGAAUAUGAGGUGUCAUUCUUCCAGUUUGUGUUGGACUUCGCUCUGGAGUGAAGAAGAUCGGAGCUUUCUAAGAAGAGUAGUUGAAAUGGCAUGUAAUCAGUCUCUGAUACAGGGUCUCGACAAAAAACGCAGACUAUCCCUCUGCCUCCUUAGAUGCUGCCUGAUCUGAAUUCUUCCAGCAGGUUGAUUUUUUUUUUGAUUUUUUUUACAGUCCAAAAUCUGUAGUCUUUUAUGUCUCCAUUUGUACCAUCUCUCCAGUAUAAAGCAUGGAAAUGGGCCCUUAAGUCCACCAAGUCCGCACUUCACAAUCAAUUCCAUUUUAUUUUCCCCAUGCUCCUAUCGACUAUCUUCAGAUUGCUCAACUCAUCUUCGGACUGGUGACUGUUUACAGUUAAUUCACUGAACUACACGUGUUUGUGGGAGGAAACCAGAGCAGCCAUAAGGAGCCCACACAACCACAAGGAUUCGGAAUCGAAUCUAAGUUACUGAACCUAUAAUGUAGUAGCUCAGCUGCUGAACCAAUGCGAAAGAAAAGUCUGAGAGCUCUUGAGGUUAACCUAAUUAGAAUAUUUACUUUGAUGGGAAACUUAGAAAACAGUUAUUUUAAACAAGGAUCUGGAAGCCCAGCUCAAACCAGUGCAGGACCUUCAGUGAAUAGUUUUGUUUUGUUUAUUGUCACUGAGGUACAGUGAAAAGCGUUUUUUUUGCGUGCUGUCGAGUCAGCGAAAAGACUAUACAUGAUUACAAUCAAGCCGUCCACAAUGGACAGAUACAGGAUAAAGUUUAGUGCAAGAUAAAGUCCAGUAAAGUCUGAUUAAAGAUAGUUCAAAAGUCUCCAGUGAGGUCAAUGGUAGUUCAGGACCACACACCAGUUGGUAUUAGGAUGGUUCAGUCGCCUGAUAAAAGCUGGGAAGAAAAUGUCCCAGGAUCUGGAGGUAUCCGUUUUCACACCUCCAAACCUCUUGCCUGAAGGGAUAGGGGAGAAGAGUGCGUGUGUGCGACUGAUUGUUGAUUAUGCUGGUGGUCUUGCCGCGGCAGUGUGAAGUGUGGAUGGUCGAUGGAAGGGAGAUUGGUAAGGCCCCGGUGGGGGGGGGGGGUUGUAGAGCAUUGGGGUCUAGCAGUACAGGUGCACAGUUUCCUGAACAUUUUGUUACACAUAGGUAGGGAGUUAAAGAAGGCUUUUGGUGCAUUGGCCUUCAUCAGUCAGGGUAUUGAAGUUGGGGCGUUAUGUUACAGCUGUUCUUGUGACAAUACAUGUUACAGUUGUUACAGCAGACAUUGGUGUGGCCACAUUUGGAGCGUUGUGUUCAGUCAUUAGGCUGGAAAGGGUGCAGAAAAGAUUUACAAGGAUGUUGCCAAGACUCGAGGCCUUGGCUAUAGGGAGAGAUUGGGCAAGGAGGAAGCUAAAAGGUCAUCUUAUAGAAGUGUGUAAAAUCAUGAAGGGAAUUGAUAGGGUGAAUGAACUGAAUAUUUUACCCAGGGAAUGGGAAUCAAAAAGGAUAGGACAUAGGUUUAAGGCGAGGGGAAAGAUAGGGACCUGAGAGGCGUGGGCUGAAAGUUGGGCCGAAAGGCCUGUUUCUACACUGUGUGAGUAUGACUCUCUGUGAAGUAACUCCAUUUGAGUGACUGGGAUUAUUUGGUGCCUUGACUCUGGAGAUCUAUGUUCUGCCAUAGAUUCAAUGCGGAAUACAAGAGCAGGCUGAGAGGUCAGGUUUAAUUUAUUAAAUUGAUUGAUUUACGGGGCAUGGAAACGGGCCCUUCUGCCCAACGACCCCACACUGACCUUUGAUCACCCAUUUACACUAGUUCUAUGUUAUCCCACUUUCGCUUCCACUCCCUGCACACUCGGGGUAAUUUACAGAACCAAUUAACUUACAAACCUGCACAUCUUUGGGAUGUGGGAGGAAACUGAAGCACCUGGAGAAAACCCACAGAGCCACAGGGAGAUGUCACGGUGGCACAGCGGUAGAGUUGCUGCCUUACAGCAAAAUGCAGCGUCAGAGACCCGGGUUCGAUCCCGACUACGGGCGCUGUCUAUAGGGAAUUUGUACGUUCUCCCCGUGAUCUGCAUGGGUUUUCGCCGAGAUCUUCGGUUUCCUCCCACACUCCAAAGACAUACAGGUUUGUAGGUUAAUUGGCUUGAUAAAAAUGUCCAAGUUGGCGAUAUGCAGAGUACUGCCCUGCCGACUACAACAUUCAGAAGGUUCAGAGGGAGAAUGUGCAAACUCCACACAGACAGUGGCCGAGUUCAGGAUCAAACCCAGGUCUCUGGCGCUGUGAGGCAGCAACUCAAGCAGCAAUCAGAAAUGUCAGGUAUGCCAGCUUGUCUCCUCCAGUUCACUCUUGUCCUCCACAUUUCAACGCACAGCCAUGGGAAUCAGAGACCAGUUCACCUAUGAGGAUGAUGGACACAAAAAGCUGGAGUAACUCAGUGGCAAAGUACAAAGUGAAUUUACAGAAAACUGCUUUAAGUGUUGAAUAGGUCAGGUGGACACAUUAUUGGCAACAAUGCUGAAUACAAGAUUCAACUCUGGAGAAAAAGAAUAGGUCACAUUUCAGGUCGAGACCCUUCUUCAGACUGAGAAUCUGGAGAAAGGGAAACGAUAGAUACAAAAGGUGAUGUGGAAAGGUCUAAAAUAAAUGAAUGAAAGAAAUACAAAAAGGUAAUGAUGAUAAAGGAACCAGGCCAUUGUUAGCUAGGCGAGAACGAGUACAGAAUGAAACUCAACGAGACAACUUUGAAGGUGGUACGACUUGGGUGGGGAGGGAGGAAGACAUCCAUGGUCUCUUCAUCGCCCAUGGUUCUUGGUGAAACUAUGACAAGAGAUAAAUAUGUUUUCACCCAAGUAAUUUGUCGUGCUGCAAACAAUCAAUUGUUGGAAGUGAGAAAUAGGCAUAAUCUUGAGAUUCUGAGUCAGAUUAAAAUCCUGGAAGGUGCUUCCUCAUAUGUUCACUGAGUUCCCAUGGUAUUAAUUUUGCCUGAAAACCUUGUGGCUGAAAUAGUGUGAAUAGUUUUAAAUUGUGCUCAUUAAGAUAAGGACAGCUCGGCGGGGCAGCAGUAGAGCUGCUACCUUACACUGCCAGAUAACUGGGUUCGAUCCUGACUAUGGGUGCUAUCUGUACGGAGUUUGUAUGUUCUCUCUGUGACCGUGUAGGUUUUCUUCAGGUGCUCCAG
Molecule: long non-coding RNA, 3431 nt
Organism: Leucoraja erinaceus (little skate)
Lineage: Eukaryota; Metazoa; Chordata; Chondrichthyes; Rajiformes; Rajidae
Exons: 2
Source: RefSeq, a predicted model, not a curated record